GAAUGGAAUGUUUUGGAAUUGAUUGGUUCAUUGUUUUGCAUAAUUUUUAUGAAUAUUUGUGUAUGAAUGGAAUGUGUAUGAAUGGAAUGUGUAUGAAUGGAAUGUGUAUGAAUGGAAUGUGUAUGAAUGGAAUGUGUAUGAAUGGAAUGUGUAUGAAUGGAAUGUGUAUGAAUGAAAUGUGUAUGAAUAUAUGUUUGAAUGCUUUUUUCA
Molecule: long non-coding RNA, 210 nt
Filed under: Zostera marina
Lineage: Eukaryota; Viridiplantae; Streptophyta; Magnoliopsida; Alismatales; Zosteraceae
Description: long non-coding RNA (ZMAR_LNC002017)
Source: RNAcentral